RNAcentral lists this long non-coding RNA (4843 nucleotides) under Homo sapiens (human). RNAcentral's name for it is "HSALNT0023403". Lineage: Eukaryota; Metazoa; Chordata; Mammalia; Primates; Hominidae. The record is from RNAcentral.
AAGGUCUCCCAGGAAUGCCUCCAAGACCUAAAUGCAGAUUCUGGAGCAUCCCCUCGGAUUAAUGGGGUCUCCUAUAACCACUGCCCACUUGCCAUUGGGCUCAGCAGGGUCCGGCUCUCUAGGGUAAUGCCAACCCUGAUCUUUCCCUGCUCCCCAAGACCCCAUAGGCUGCUCUUGCUACCUACUUAGGACUCCAAGCCUGAGACAAAGCCUUUUUUUCUUCAAGAGAAGGUUCUUAAUUUCUAAAGAAAGCCUUUCUACACAGGUUUUCCCUGUAUAUAAGCAGAAUAACUUUUAAAUGCCAAGAAAAGGGAGAAUUUGAGAGAUAACAUAGCAGAAAUUGAGUACAUUUUGCCUCUAGAAUAAAUAUGAAUGACUUUAUCUGUUUAUGUAAAUAUCUGGAACAACAGGUCUGUGGUGGGUGCUGAUGAUUGGUCUGCUCCAUUCCUCUGAAGGAUCUUCAAGUACAGGAGAGUCUGGAAGACUAAAAGAUGCAUUUCCUAGGUUCCCUUGCAGCCAGGAUGCUCUAGGGAGAUCUUGGGAUUUGAAAGGCAGUUGAAGCAGAAACAGUUUCAAGAUUCUGGCUCCAAUGGCUCCCUAAAGAAGAACCCAUUCUGUAAAGUUCUGAGAGUUUUGAUUACUGAAGAUUCCACUCACUGAACUCCUUGUGUAUCAGAAAGUGAGAGAUUUUCUGUCUUCCUGGAAAACCCUUUAUUUAUCAAGGACUCCGCCAUCCUCUUAAGCUCCAAAGCUGCCUCUUCCUUCCCAGUCUCGGCACAGACACUGCUGACACGCCUCUGACCACGAGCAUGUGGCCAGGUCUCCAGAUCCAUGCCUAGCCCAAGGAUCUCAGGACAUAAUUUUCUCUACUUGGAGUUUGGUGAGAACUACGAAUUUCUUAACGUCAUAUUGACUGCUUAAAAUGAAAAAUCCUAAACCUGUGGAGGUCAAGGGUGAAAAGAAUUUUAAUUAUCUUAAAAUAAUGGAGAAAAGGAACAGUAGAGAUUUCAUGACUUUAGCUCCUGGUGAGGUUGAAAAAAUUAAAGGCCAAAGAAAUUAAACUUAUCCUGUAAAUGUAUGGAGCUGGUCAGUGACAAGGACAGGAUGAGGAUCCUGGCUUCCUGGGGUCCUGGUGAUACCGGUUGGUCCUCUCAGCUCUGUGCCAUGCAGCCUGUCCUGGUGUCAUUGCGCACAUGCUGCCCCACAGCAGUCACUCUCAUUUAAAUCCCAAAUGUGGGCAUAUUACAAAUUGCAUGCAAGACAAAAGCAAACUGAUGUCUCAAAAAUGUAGACAGGGCAUGUCAGAAGAGCGGUAUCAGUCAAAAUCAGAUGGUGUCAUAUAGCACCCUGUUGCACAACUACCCAUGAAAAUGCCUUGGUCAGGGAGAGGGGCAGUGUGGAGAACAAAACCACCUUCUGUAAACCAAUUCUACUCCUUUGGGAGAUGACUAUGUAAUGGAUGGUGGAGAGUAGUUUCAGUUCUGUAUGGAACACAACCACUGAGAAUCAUGCUGAUAAUCACAGUAAUUUUAAUACACAUUUUUAAAAAGGGCUUCCUAUAUCCUGGGUGCUAUGUUGUUCCAGUUGUCCAAAUGAAAGCUGAAUUCUGUCCAUUCUACAAUGUAGGUCUGCUAUCUAAAGAAACAUCCAACCUCUAUCUCAGCCAGCUGCCUCUGCUCAUUCAACAGGGUGCCAAUUUUCCUUCACUGUAAGCAUGCACUCUCCCCCUAGAGAGCAAGAUUCAGCAGUUUAGACAACAUGUUUUCUCACCCUUUCAAUAGUCAGACACUGACUAAAAGAAUAAAGGUGACCAAUACACCUUUUACCACCAAAAGCCCUGACUUCUAAACCAGUUGUAUUCUCCACCUGCAUAAUAAUGUAUAUGAUCCACCUCUCUUCACCCAAGAUAGACAUGAGCAAUGGAGUGCACCAGCCCUAGCAGCCAUUGCCUCCCUUUCCCACAUUAAUCCACUUGGCAGGCCAAAGCAAACAUACUGCCCAGGGCUCAUGUACCUGCGCAACUUCUUCCCCCACCCCCACACACAUUGUCUCUGGGCUUGGUUUUAGGUCUUGCUUUGACCCAUGAACAUUAACAAGCGGGAUGUAAACAGAGGCUUGGUAAACCCUUGCGCACUGGAGCUGCCUCUCGUGGUACACUCUGUCGCGAAGUCAGUCUCGUCUCUAUGCUAUAAAGAAACUCCAGCUAGACUGCUGAAGAUGAGAGGGCACAGGCACGGAGCUCUGAAGGUGGGAGCCUUUAGAUGGUCCACGCCAGCUGAGCUGCACGUUAUCUCUCAACCACACAGGUACACCUGAGCAAAAGAAGUGCUUGGCUGAGCCCCGUCCACCCACAGGAUCAUGAGAAAGAAUAAGUAGCUGUUGCUCUAAGUCACUAAGUAUUGGGGUGGCUUGUUACACAGUGAUAGAUAACUAAACUGGUGUAUCUCUACUGGAGGUUUUAAAGAGUCCCUCUAUAUCCUUUCUAUACAAGUGCAGAAACAGAGAAGGGAAAUUAAGGUUUAAAAUAUCCUCCAGGAGUAAUAGUUCUACGUAUCUCAGGCAAAGUCCCUUAGCAAAUUAGUCUUUUUGUUUCUCUCUCUAAUAAUUAAGGAUAAUAGCAACCAAUCCUAUGUAUGUCCACACGUAUAGUGUGAGGUUAGAAGACAUGAUAUAUUUAUUUAUUCAUUUACAUCACAACUUGGUCAAGAGGAGAUUUAGACAGGCUAGGGCAAUUGGUGAAAUAUUUUUCAUGCCCAAUAAAUGAAUGUGGUUCAUUUCAGGUAUUAUUAUAUUUAUUGAAACAUUUCUUCACUUAUAAACCCUCACUGUUUCCUGGUCUCCUCUAUCACAUUCACAUUUUUAUAAGAAAAAAUGUUCCUUGCUUUACCUAAAUAAUUAUUAGCUUGAUUAAUAAUUGAUCCCCUUCUACUGUUUCCAUUUUGAAAUAGAAACACUUGGCUUUCAGCAGUACCUGAUCAGUUUUGGGGGUGAUGGUGAAGUGAUUUAGAAAAGGAGCCAGUGUAAAGAAAGGGGCAGAGUAGGAAAACAGGGCCAAUUUACCAUGUGGCUGGUGACAUGGAGGACUGUCUAACUUUGGGUAGGCUCUCAGCCACACAAGGGCCAACCAUAAAAAUCAUUUAAGGUUGUCACAAGGCAAUAAUUAAUCAUAUAAUGACUCCGCCUCAUUCUCAUCCCUUAGGCUGAAAUAAGAUAACAAAGGAGGUAAAUUGUGUAGAUAAAUUAAAUGCAUUGCAAAUCCAUUCAUCAGUUACUGUGUCUGGUUUUAGAUCAUUAAUGCACAAUAAUAGCCUAUGUGCAGCCCUCCUAGCUUCAUGGUCUGUUCUGAGAUUUUAUCUCAGAGUAAGCAAAGGAACCCAGGAAGAGCCAGGACAGAGAAGGGACACAGGGGGAAGACAGUCGGAGUAGGGAGAAGUUAGGGAAUUCUAGAUGACUUUUCUGUAUGUUUUUUAACCAAUAAAACCUUUGAUAAAUACAUGAGUUAAGCCAAUCUAACUAUUUCAAUUGAUAUUGCUGUGGUUGGUGACACUUUAGAUAUAUCAGUUCUAAGUUCCUAUUGAGUAUCUCUUAGUGGAGAUACUUGAGCAGAUUCAAAAUAGAAUUCUGACUCAGCCAGCUGGGUCUGGUAUAGUCUAAGUCCAUGACAAACUGGAGCGCAAAGAGUGGUCAAUCUUUCUGAUUUUCAUGGCAAAAUCAGUUCUUAUAUUUACUCCUGAAGCACAUGAAUUGUUUUCGCAACAGCCACUUAAAAUACUGGUACUUGUCUUAAAGUGAAACCCUGAACCAGCUAUUAUCCAGCAACUGUCAAAUAGUGAUCAAUGCAAGUGAUAUUUCCAAAAGCUUGUGUACUAAGGGAUAUACUAGAAUGUCUAAGUUCUGUUUGUGCUUUAAGUUUGGACUAUAAGAAUACACCCAAAACAGCAUGCUUGGACUGUAAGAAUACAUGCCCUCAUGGGAAUGUUUUCCAAAGUGACAAUCAGCAUAUGCCACAUUGAUGUUAUACCUCUUGUUGUUGGAUUGAGAGGAAAUGCUAGAAGUUGCUAUAUGGGGGAUGUUUCUCCACCUUGUGCAAAGCCAGUUAAAAAUGUAAAAUAUUCACAUCAACAUUUUUGGUACCCAAAUUCAAGGGAAGAAAGCCAAUUCCCCUCUAGAGCCUCCAGAAAGCAACACAGCCCUGCCAACCCCUUGGUUUUAGCCCAAUGAGACCCAUGUCAGAUUUCUCACCUCCAGACCAUAAUGUAAUAAAUCUGUGUUGCUUUAAGCCACUUACAGCAGCUGAAGGAAGCUAAUACAAUGAGUUAAGUUUGAAGUACCUGUGGGACAUUUAGGAGGAAAGCAACAAAGGGCAAUGGGAUCUUCUGCUCCAGAAUGUGUUUCCUUUUUAAAGUUAAAUAUUGGGUUCCCAACCACAUGCAUCUUUCAUGUGCAAGCUAUGCCUCUUCAAGACUUGGUUUUACUAUUAGUAUUGCACAUUGUACCAGAUAACAGGGGAAACUGUGGUUGGGUGACUCGGGUUGUUAAAUGAUGACUGUAAAACUGUAAGAAUGUGCCAGUCCGCAGCAAAAGCUUCUUGCACGACAAGAGUCAAGGGACAGCCCAGCAUAAGGCUGGGGAACACAGCAGAUCCAUGACUUCCACAUGAUGCCUGGGUUGCAACCUUGCCUACUGACUCCCUAAACUACCUUUGUACACCAAAUUCAGACUUCCCUGCUUCACCAUCUGCAGGAUUCACUUGUCAUUUUUCAGAGAGGUGGCCCACCCCCUACAGUUCCACCAGGUCAGCAGCAGCAGCCGCGGCAGCUUUGUUCCACAGAGCCAGCCUGUG